UACGUAGGGGGCGAGCGUUGCCCGGAAUCAUUGGGCGUAAAGGGCGCGCAGGCGGCCUGAUUAGUCGUGGGUGAAAUCGUUCGGCUCAACCGAGCGGGGUCCUGCGAAACGGUCGGGCUGGAGCAAGGCAGGGGGUCGUGGAAUUCCCGGUGUAGUGGUGGAAUGCGUAGAGAUCGGGAGGAACACCAGUGGCGAAGGCGGCGACCUGGGCCUGUGCUGACGCUGAGGCGCGAAAGCGUGGGGAGCAAACAGG
Molecule: ribosomal RNA, 253 nt
Filed under: uncultured bacterium
Lineage: Bacteria
Description: partial 16S ribosomal RNA
Rfam family: Bacterial small subunit ribosomal RNA
Source: RNAcentral